This is a long non-coding RNA of Papaver somniferum (opium poppy), 753 nucleotides long. RefSeq lists it as uncharacterized. Lineage: Eukaryota; Viridiplantae; Streptophyta; Magnoliopsida; Ranunculales; Papaveraceae. The record is from RefSeq and is a predicted model, not a curated record. The transcript is spliced from 3 exons.
ACGUGAGGAGCUGUUUUCAUGUGGUUUUAUCCCAAGGUUUGUUUAAAAUUUUGUUCUUUGAAGAAAAGCAAUUGUCUUCUUCCACCGUAUCUUGUUUCUCUGAUCAAUAAUCUUCUUACUCUGCUGUUUGUUUUCUUUCUUGCCUCAAUUUCAAUCCACUUCGGAUCCAUUGGUACCUGAAUCAGCCCACAAUUUGUUUAGAACUUGAAUUAUAAAAUACCCAAGAUAUAGUGUCGUUCCCAGAAUCGGAAACCACUUUUAAUCUUCUUCAAGCUCCAUCGAUGAUCAUCACCAUCAAUGGAAGACACCACUAGUAAUUGAGAAAUCUUAUGUCCAAUUGGAACAACAAGUUGUUCAUUACAUGGAGAAAGCCAUUGAACAGGUGCUAAAGUUCCAUAAGCUAUAAGAAGUUUCAAUGCAAGAAGUAAUCCCUCCUCCAAAAUAGUGACGAAGAAUGACCACUCCCAACAAGGACCCAAUGGAGUUGACAAAAGAACAACUUGAAAUCACAGUGAAAGCAGGAUGCAGUCUUGGGCUAAAAUGGUUGAAAAUACUCCUAGAUGCAAGCUCAAUAAUGCGAUGUAUAUACUCUUUUGCAUAGAUUUCUAGAUGGCAUCCUGAUUUAUAAACCUGAGGAGAUGGAACAGAAAGUUGUGGGUUAUUCUUCAUUUCUUUUUAUGUCUUUUAUAUUCUUUUAUACUACAUAUAAUACUGAUCACAUUAAAAGAUAAAAAUAAUUAGUUUUUUUUUUUU